GAUGAACGCUAGCUACAGGCUUAACACAUGCAAGUCGAGGGGAAACGGCAUCGAAAGCUUGCUUUUGAUGGGCGUCGACCGGCGCACGGGUGAGUAACGCGUAUCCAACCUGCCCAUCACUUGGGAAUAACCUUGCGAAAGUAAGACUAAUGCCCAAUGACAUCCCACGAAGGCAUUCGAAUGGGAUUAAAGAUUUAUCGGUGAUGGAUGGGGAUGCGUCUGAUUAGCUUGUUGGCGGGGUGACGGCCCACCAAGGCAACGAUCAGUAGGGGUUCUGAGAGGAAGGUCCCCCACAUUGGAACUGAGACACGGUCCAAACUCCUACGGGAGGCAGCAGUGAGGAAUAUUGGUCAAUGGGCGAGAGCCUGAACCAGCCAAGUAGCGUGCAGGAUGACGGCCCUAUGGGUUGUAAACUGCUUUUAUAAGGGAAUAAAGUGGGUCACGUGUGACUUUUUGCAUGUACCUUAUGAAUAAGGACCGGCUAAUUCCGUG
RNAcentral lists this ribosomal RNA (492 nucleotides) under uncultured bacterium. RNAcentral's name for it is "partial 16S ribosomal RNA". It matches the Rfam family "Bacterial small subunit ribosomal RNA", at positions 28 to 507 of the family's 1533-position model. The record is from RNAcentral.